This 465-nucleotide ribosomal RNA is filed under the name Vreelandella stevensii. Its description in RNAcentral is "partial 16S ribosomal RNA". It matches the Rfam family "Bacterial small subunit ribosomal RNA", at positions 338 to 795 of the family's 1533-position model. The record is from RNAcentral. Lineage: Bacteria; Pseudomonadati; Pseudomonadota; Gammaproteobacteria; Oceanospirillales; Halomonadaceae.
CCUACGGGUGGCUGCAGUGGGGAAUAUUGGACAAUGGGGGCAACCCUGAUCCAGUCAUGCCGCGUGUGUGAAGAAGGCCCUCGGGUUGUAAAGCACUUUCAGUGAGGAAGAACGCCUGGUGGUUAAUACCCAUCAGGAAAGACAUCACUCACAGAAGAAGCACCGGCUAACUCCGUGCCAGCAGCCGCGGUAAUACGGAGGGUGCGAGCGUUAAUCGGAAUUACUGGGCGUAAAGCGCGCGUAGGUGGCUUGAUAAGCCGGUUGUGAAAGCCCCGGGCUCAACCUGGGAACGGCAUCCGGAACUGUCAAGCUAGAGUGCAGGAGAGGAAGGUAGAAUUCCCGGUGUAGCGGUGAAAUGCGUAGAGAUCGGGAGGAAUACCAGUGGCGAAGGCGGCCUUCUGGACUGACACUGACACUGAGGUGCGAAAGCGUGGGUAGCAAACAGGAUUAGAUACCCUAGUAGUC